GUCUCAGUUCGGAUUGGAGGCUGAAACCCGCCUCCAUGAAGUUGGAUUCGCUAGUAAUCGCGCAUCAGCCAUGGCGCGGUGAAUACGUUCCCGGGCCUUGUACACACCGCCCGUCAAGCCAUGGGAGCCGGGGGUGCCUGAAGUUCGUGACCGCAAGGAGCGACCUAGGGCAAAACUGGUGACUGGGGCUAAGUCGUAACAAGGUAUC
This 208-nucleotide ribosomal RNA is filed under the name uncultured bacterium. Its description in RNAcentral is "partial 16S ribosomal RNA". It matches the Rfam family "Bacterial small subunit ribosomal RNA", at positions 1285 to 1500 of the family's 1533-position model. The record is from RNAcentral.